AUGAUGCCAUCACUUAAGGUAGAUUUGAAAAACUAUUUGCUUGGACAUGAUCAUACACACCCUGUUAGUGGCAUUGCUCAUAUCGCUGUUCAUGAUACUUAUGUUCCUAAUGCUAUACCCGUGCUUAAUGAAACGUGUGAUUCUAAUACUAGAAUCGAGCUUAUUGAUUUGUACCAUCCUAAACAUGUGCUUUAUAUCUAUGCUUAUGUAAUUGGAUAUUCGAUUGAUGACUUGGAGGGUAUUAUCCCUACCACUUGCAUUGUCUCAUUCGUUGAGUGCUUUUUCAGGUUCUUGCUUGUGCACGAAUCACUACAUGCUGACCAAGUUCGAGAUGAUUCCCUGGGACACCGGUGGACCCAUGGCAUGGGGAUGAGGAGAAGCAAGGAGCACACAUGA
This 396-nucleotide ribosomal RNA is filed under the name Triticum aestivum (bread wheat). RNAcentral's name for it is "partial small subunit ribosomal RNA". Lineage: Eukaryota; Viridiplantae; Streptophyta; Magnoliopsida; Poales; Poaceae. The record is from RNAcentral.